Mus musculus (house mouse) is the source of this 3254-nucleotide long non-coding RNA. RefSeq annotates it as predicted gene, 35066. The record is from RefSeq and is a predicted model, not a curated record. The transcript has 4 exons. Lineage: Eukaryota; Metazoa; Chordata; Mammalia; Rodentia; Muridae.
AGCACCUGAAAAUAUGGAAGUGAAUCCAAUAGAAAACUUAGUCAUUUUUUUGAAAAGUGGCCCUGCUCCCACUGAGCUUUGUGGCAAGAUAUUUGUUAUGUAGCUCCCAGGACCUUCCUCCACUGCUGGCAAAGCUUAAGAGAGCCAAUCAAAGUAAUCAUUCAAUUUUCAAGAAACUGUAAUGAAAAUAAAAAAAGAAGAAGAAGAAAACAAAGCCAAAGGGGUAUCACACACAGUGGAGCUCUCUGCUGGGAUGAAAGCUAUGGGUGGGUCUUUCCCUUAGACAUUCCUGCAGUUGGCCUUGGACCAACUCUCUGUAGACACCUGGUUGACAGAACCAGUGUACCAAUUAUUCUUGGUGUGCAGUGUGGUCUUCUUUUCCAGAAAGACGUCCUUGAAGAGUGGCAUCACAUAACUACAUGUGCUUUGCCUAAUCAAGGAGCAUCAUUUUAUCCAGACGACAAUGUGACUGAACUCAGAGAAUGAGGGUCUGCCAAGAAAGGCAAUGGAAUAAAGAAGGAUUGAUGUGUGCUGUUCCAUGGGAGAGUCAUAGCCAGCAGUGAUCAGAACAGAUACACCAGACUUUAGCCACAGCUCAUCCCAUUGGCUUGCAGUUCAAAUCAGAGCUUUCUGCAUCUCUACUGCUGUGUCUAUCAGGACAGACCCCUUUGAUGCUUCAAGACUGACCCCUCAGAUGCUUCCAGCUUCAUCAUAAGCCCACUGCUCCUGAAGGCCUCCAUCUCUCACCCUGCUGCCCUCCGAGAGUCCAGCACUCUGACUCACAUGUAGUGUAAAGAGUCAGCAAGCUGAUUAGUGAAUAGUCGCGAGAUUAGUCACAGUGUCAGAGUUCAGAGAAUGAAGGUCCAGUGCAGGAAGUAUGUGGCCACUCUACAGUGGCUCAGAAGCUGUUUAGCACACACAGAAGGAGGAUAAAAUAAUUCUCUGUUUCCCUGGAUGCCUCUUUUCAAAACGAGAGAUAUUUAGGCUUCAGGAAGAGAGUACUCUCUGUACAUGAGAACAGAGUGGUAGUGGUUCAAACUGAGUUAUGAAUUGGACUAGUAGGUAUUGCAGAAUUUUCCCUGUCCAAUUACGUUAGUACAGGAUUGCCUGUGAUUGGACAGGGAAAAGGGAGGUGGAGCUAAGAGUUGAGAGACAGGCGUGUUCUCAGUAAGCGGAAGAAGAAGAUCGUGCACCCGCUUGGCUCUUACCAGCCACAAGUAACUACAAUUUCAUAAGAUUGCCAUGAAGACUUCUGAAACUGACGAGAAAUCAAAAUUCCUGUCUGAGGACUUCUCCCUGUGUGAGGAAGUCUAACUGAAUUGGUCAUGCAGUCUGCAUAGUGAUCCCUUAGGUAUUUAUGGAGGACAUGCUUUGUAAUAAGCUCGGGAGAUAGAACAUCCUUUCCCACGGGGGACACGCACAUCAGUGAAGAAGAUUGGCCUAUGAAGGCCUAUCACACAGGCAUAUGAGUGUUGUAAUAAAAGUGAAUGAUAGCAAAGUGGAUGCAGACAGGAGACACACCCCAGUUACUAACGUCUUGGAUAACAGAUUGGUGCUUAAAAAAAGAAGCCAGAAUGUCAUAGAUGAAGAAAUCGCCUGCACUUCUACUCCUCCUAGCUAAAAAUCUAACAAAGAUCUAGAUCCCAAAGCAUUUACUCUGGUGGGCACCAUAGCGCAGAUUCCGUCUGAUUGGUAACGAGAGUGAGCAGAGUUACGUAGUCUCCCCAAUGGUGCAGAAUUAUUUUAUAAUUAGAGUGUUUUCCUUCACUCCAUCAAAAGGCUGCGGGAGUUAUGAAAGAUGAUAGAAAACUAAUAUUUUUUCUAGUUUCAACUGUCAUAUGUUUCUCCCACCUCACCCCCCCCCCCCGUGGUAUGUAAGUAAAUUCAACUUUUUGUGCAAUGAAGUAGUAAGAACCAUGCUUGUGUUACAGGAGAACAGGUGACUCCUUUGAGGUCGUGAUUGGGCUUGCCUGUUCAUUAUGUUGUCCAUCAGUGGACUAGGAAUUAGCCACAAUUAGUCACUGUGUGCAUUUGUCACACUGACUGAGUUAGAAAAAGUGGGGUUUUUUUGUUUUGUUUUUUGUUUUUUAAAAAAAUACAUUUGUUUUGGGAUGGGAAAGGUUUUUGCAAAGCUCUCCCAUUCUGUUCUGUCUAAAACCAGAUCGAGUUAUUUUGUUACAGUUAUUUAAUGUGUAAAUGAUAUCACUAUACAUAAAGUAUGUCUUUUAAAAACAAUGCUUUCUUUCAAAAUAGUGAUUGCUCAUAUUCAUGGUGUUCACAGCUAUGUUAAAUGAGGAAAUCUGGUGUUCAUACUUUGUUUUCCUGACUGUUUCUGAAAGGAGAUGGGAACUUGCAGAUGCUGGUGGGGACUCUGUAAAGAACAAUGGUUUUCUCUGGGCUGAGUCCAACCCCACCUUUGUCAGUAACUGGGUGAACAUGAUUGUUCUACUUAGCCUCUCUGUCGGUCCAUUUCCUGGACAACACGGUAAGGAUAAUAAAAUCUGCUUCAGAAAGACAAAAGUGAAUUAAAGACAGGACUCUGCAGACGUGCCGGCCUAGUGUUUAGUGAGUACUGGCUUGUCUUCUGUAUGACACUGGUUAUAGAGCAGUGACAGGUCAGGAAGACCUGAACUGGAUUGGUCAAGACUUGGAGGCUCAGGAUGAUCCAGUCCUGGCGGCACCCAGUUUUUGUGAGUUUUACUUGGGGAAACCUAACCAAUUUGUCACAGAAAAUGCUGGUGGUAACCACCUCACUCUGCAAGCAGGGGAGGGAAAACAGCUAUUUUUGAAAUAGUCAUCAGUUUCUAAUAAAGUCUGCCUUCAGGAGAAGCGAGAAAAACAGCGCAUAACCUGCUGGGAUUUUAUCACGGCUCACAAGAUAUGGGAAGAAGUGACCAGCUCUGGCAGAUCUAGGCUCUCAUAUGGAGUUCAGAUGUAGAUCUCAUACGUUAGUUCACUCCAGCCGUCCUGUCCUCUGACAGAGAGAGAAAGAUUCUGAGGUCACAUAUGCCAUUUACAGGCCAGAGGCAAUAGCUCACUAAUACAUACAGAAUUCGCGGGAUUAUAAGCAUGCUGUCUUCCAUGUACAUACUUCAGUUCCUUUUACUCAUUACAGCAUGUCUGGCCUUGAAGAAAAUGACCACAAAGCUUACUGAGAGUCAAGAAACAAUGGGAAGAGAUUGGGGAGCAUCAGAGCCGUAUGCAGCCUCCUUAUCAGACAAAAAGUUUGUUUUAUUAAAAAAAUUUUUCACAUA